Molecule: long non-coding RNA, 709 nt
Filed under: Falco tinnunculus (common kestrel)
Lineage: Eukaryota; Metazoa; Chordata; Aves; Falconiformes; Falconidae
Description: lncRNA (ENSFTIG00000003367.1)
Source: RNAcentral
CCGCAGUUGCGAGGCGAGGCGUGGCUCAGCAUGAGAAAUUUUAAUCUUCAGGUUCGGUGGCUGCGGGGCUGCUCCCGGGCGAGUCGGGCGGCUGCUGGCGGCGCCCCUGGCUGUGCUUGGGGGGAGGGGUCGAGCCUGCGCCUGAUGGUUUUAUCCCUGGUACGGGUGGAACGGCCGUGAGCUGUACCAGCUGGUGCCAAAGCAACGAGUCAGGAGUAAGUCUCUCUACAUUUAUGAUUAAUCACCUGUACCUUCUCUUCUCGGAUACUGAAAUCAAUCCAGUAUUAUUAGAAAAGCUCCAGGAGCAACAAAACUGAUGUUUCUUGUCCCUGACACAAGUUGAAGACAAGGAAGUCUUAUUUCAGACAGAGAUAGGAUGUGAAAAAUUUCCAAGGGUCCACAACAUGAAGUACUUGGAUCAAGCUUUUUGAUCAAGGAUGGUUAUGACUACUCUGAAGAGUCCCACAAUAGUACAUAAUACUGUAUUUGCAAAGGAGAAUUUUCAGUGUACUGGAAUGCUGUAUCUUCAAGUUGGAAGCAGUUCUACCCAAUGUUAGAAGAAUAUGAUUUGUUUUCCUGGAUUCCUAUGGUCAAACUGUCGCAGCAUGAGAUUUGUGUACUUGCAUAACCUUUCCAGUUCAUCAUCUAGUGCUAACAAUGACUUAACAAUGCAAUGUAUGAGCAAAGCAUUCCUAGGGCGGACAUCGUU